This 609-nucleotide ribosomal RNA is filed under the name Candidatus Methylopumilus sp. SH3101B63. RNAcentral's name for it is "bacterial SSU rRNA". It matches the Rfam family "Bacterial small subunit ribosomal RNA", at positions 338 to 939 of the family's 1533-position model. The record is from RNAcentral. Lineage: Bacteria; Pseudomonadati; Pseudomonadota; Betaproteobacteria; Nitrosomonadales; Methylophilaceae.
CCUACGGGAGGCAGCAGUGGGGAAUUUUGGACAAUGGGGGCAACCCUGAUCCAGCCAUUCCGCGUGAGUGAAGAAGGCCUUCGGGUUGUAAAGCUCUUUCGCAAGGGAAGAAAACUUAUGAUCGAAUAAAUCAUGAGGUUGACGGUACCUUGAUAAGAAGCACCGGCUAACUACGUGCCAGCAGCCGCGGUAAUACGUAGGGUGCGAGCGUUAAUCGGAAUUACUGGGCGUAAAGCGUGCGCAGGCGGUUUUGUAAGUCGGAUGUGAAAUCCCCGGGCUCAACCUGGGAACUGCGUUCGAAACUGCAAGGCUAGAGUGUGUCAGAGGGGGGUAGAAUUCCACGUGUAGCAGUGAAAUGCGUAGAGAUGUGGAGGAAUACCAAUGGCGAAGGCAGCCCCCUGGGAUAACACUGACGCUCAUGCACGAAAGCGUGGGGAGCAAACAGGAUUAGAUACCCUGGUAGUCCACGCCCUAAACGAUGUCAACUAGUUGUUGGUAGAGUAAAAUCUAUGAGUAACGUAGCUAACGCGUGAAGUUGACCGCCUGGGGAGUACGGUCGCAAGAUUAAAACUCAAAGGAAUGACGGAAUCGUCGACUGCAGACGGCUCG